AUUGAACGCUGGCGGCAGGCCUAACACAUGCAAGUCGAGCGGCAGCGGGAAAGUAGCUUGCUACUUUUGCCGGCGAGCGGCGGACGGGUGAGUAAUGCCUGGGGAUCUGCCCAGUCGAGGGGGAUAACUACUGGAAACGGUAGCUAAUACCGCAUACGCCCUACGGGGGAAAGCAGGGGACCUUCGGGCCUUGCGCGAUUGGAUGAACGCAGGUGGGAUUAACUAGUUGGUGAGGUAAUGGCUCACCAAGGCGACGAUCCCUAGCUGGUCUGAGAGGAUGAUCAGCCACACUGGAACUGAGACACGGUCCAGACUCCUACGGGAGGCAGCAGUGGGGAAUAUUGCACAAUGGGGGAAACCCUGAUGCAGCCAUGCCGCGUGUGUGAAGAAGGCCUUCGGGUUGUAAAGCACUUUCAGCGAGGAGGAAAGGUUGGUAGCUAAUAACUGCCAGCUGUGACGUUACUCGCAGAAGAAGCACCGGCUAACUCCGUGCCAGCAGCCGCCGCAG
RNAcentral lists this ribosomal RNA (508 nucleotides) under uncultured bacterium. RNAcentral's name for it is "partial 16S ribosomal RNA". It matches the Rfam family "Bacterial small subunit ribosomal RNA", at positions 29 to 523 of the family's 1533-position model. The record is from RNAcentral.